RNAcentral lists this ribosomal RNA (484 nucleotides) under uncultured archaeon. Its description in RNAcentral is "bacterial SSU rRNA". It matches the Rfam family "Archaeal small subunit ribosomal RNA", at positions 325 to 810 of the family's 1478-position model. The record is from RNAcentral.
ACGGGGUGCAGCAGGCGCGAAAACUCCGCAAUACACGAAAGUGUGACGGGGGGACCCCAAGUGCUCUCGCGCAAGCGAGUGCUUUUUCGAAGUGUAAAUAGCUUUGCGAAUAAAAGCUGGGUAGGACCGGUGCCAGCCGCCGCGGUAACACCGGCAGCUUGAGUGGUGAUCAUUAUUAUUGGGCCUAAAGCGUCCGUAGCCGGUUUGGUAAGUCCUUGGGCAAAUCCUGUCGCUUAACGAUAGGAAUUCUGGGGAUACUGCCAGACUUGAGGCCGAGAGAGGUCGGAGGUACUUCAAGGGUAGCGGUGAAAUGUUAUAAUCCUUGGGGGACCACCAGUGGCGAAAGCGUCCGACUAGAGCGGGCCUGACGGUAAGGGACGAAAGCCAGGGGCGCGAACGGGAUUAGAUACCCCGGUAGUCCUGGCCGUAAACGCUGUGGGCUAGGUGUUGCAUGCUCUACGAGGGCAUGCAGUGCCGAAGAGAA